CUAAAUUGCAAAGACUACUUCUAUUGUGGAACUCAAGAACUAAACAAUACUCAUCAAAGCUUUGCUAAAUUGCAAACACCACUUCUAUUGUGGAACUCAACAAAAAUGUUCAUCAAAGCUUUUCUGAAUUGCAUAGACUUCUAAUGUGGAACUAAAGAAAGAAACAAUGCUCAUCAAAGCUUUGGAAAAAUUGCAUACACUUUUAUUGUGGAACCAAAGAAUUAAACAAUGCUCAUCAAAGCUUUAUUAAAUUGCAAGGACUACUUCUAUAGUGGAACUCAAGAAUUAAAUAAUGCUCAUCAAUGCUUUGCUUAAUUGCAUAGACUUCUAUUGUGGAACUCAAGUAUUAAGCAAUGCUCAUCAAAGCAUUGCUAAAUUGUAUAGACUUCUAAUGUGGAAGCCAAGAAUGAAAGAAUGCUCAUGAAUGCUUUGCUAAAUUGCAUAGACUUCUAUUGUUGAACUCAAGAAUCAAACAAUGCUAAUCAAAUCUUUGCUUAAAAUUUAUAGACUUCUAUUAUGGAACAAAAUUAAGUGAUGCUCAUCAAAGCUUCGCUAAAUUGCAUAGACUUCUAAUGUGGAACAUAAGAAUAAAACAAUGCUCAUCAAAGCUUUGCUUAAAUUGCAUAGACUUAUAUUGUGGAACUCAAGAAUAAAGAAAUGCUCUUUAAAGCCUUGCUAAAUUGCGAAGACUACUUUUAUGGAACUCAAGAAUUAAACAAUGCUCAUCAAAGCUUUGCAAAAUUCAAUAGACUUCUAGUGUGAAACUCAAGAAUGAAUCAAUGCUCUUCAAAGCUUUGCUUAAAUUACAUCCACUUCUAUUGUGGAACUCAAGAAUUAAAUAAUGCUCAUCAAAGCUUUGAUAAAUUUGCAAAGACUACUUCUAUUGUGGAACUCAAGAAGGAAUCAAUGCUCAUCAAUGCUUUGCUAAAUUGCAUAGACUUCUAAUGUGGAACCCAAGAAUGAAACAAUGCUUAAGAAAGCUUUGCUAAAUUGCAUAGACUUCUAUUGUGGAACUCAAGAAUCAAACAAUGCUCAUCAAACCUUUGCUAAAUUUCAUAGACUUAUAAUGUUGAACUCAAGAAUAAAACAAUCCUCAUCUAAGCUUUUUUUUAAUUGCAUUCACUUCUAUUGUGAAACUCAAGAAUUAUACAAUGUUCAUCAAAGCUUUGCCAAAUUGCAAAGACUACUUCUAUUGUGGAACUCAAGAACUAAACAUUGUUCAUCAAUGCUUUGCUAAAUUGCAUAGACAUUUAAUGUGGAACCCAAGAAUGAAACAUUGUUCAUGAAAGCUUUGCAAAAUUGCAUAGACUUCUAUUGUCGAACUCAAGAAUCAAACAAUGCUUUAAAUUGCAUAGACUUGUCUUGUGGAACUCAAGAAUGAAACGCUGCUCAUCCAAGCUUUCCCAAUGUGCGUAGACUUGUAAUGUGGAACUCAUGAAUGAAACAAUUCUCGUCAAAGCUUUGCUUAAAUUCGACAGACUAUUAUUAUGGAACUCAAAAAUAAAGAAAUGCUCAUCAAAGCUUCGCUAAAUUGUGAAGACUACUUCUAUUGUGGAACUCAAGAACUAAACGAUACUCAUCAAAGCUUUGCUAAAUUAGAAACACCACUUCUAUUGUGGAACUCAACAAAAAUCUUCAUCAAAGCUUUUCUGAAUUGCAUAGACUUCUAAUGUGGAACUAAAGAAAGAAACAAUGCUUAAAAAUUGCAUACACUUUUAUUGUGGAACCAUAGAAUUAAACAAUGCUAAUCAAAGCUUUAUUAAAUUGCAACGACUACUUCUAUUGUGGAACUCAACAAAAAUCUUCAUCAAAGCUUUUCUGAAUUGCAUAGACUUCUAAUGUGGAACUAAAGAAAGAAACAAUGCUUAAAAAUUGCAUACACUUUUAUUGUGGAACCAUAGAAUUAAACAAUGCUAAUCAAAGCUUUAUUAAAUUGCAAGGACUACUUCUAUUGUGGAACUCAAGAAUUAAAUAAUACUCGUCAAUGCUUUGCUUAAUGGCAUAGACUUCUAUUGUGGAACUCAAGUAUUAAGCAAUGCUCAUCAAAGCAUUGCUAAAUUGCAUAGACUUCUAAUGUGGAACCCAAGAAUGAAAGAAUGCUCAUGAAUGCUUUGCUAAAUUGCAUAGACUUCUAUUAUUGAACUUGAGAAUCAAACAAUGCUAAUCAAAGCUUUGCUUUAAUUUUAUAGACUUCUAUUGUGGAACACAAUUAAAAGAUGCUCAUCAAAGCUUCAAUAAAUUGCAUAGACUUCUAAUGUGGGACACAAGAAUAAAACAAUGCUCAUCAAAGUUUUGCUUAAAUUGCAUAGAGUUAUAUUGUGGAACUCAAGAAUAAAGAAAUGCUCUUCAAAGCCUUGCUAAAUUGCGAAGACUACUUUUAUGGAACUCAAGAAUUAAACAAUGGUCAUCAAAGCUUUGCUAAAUUCAAUAGAAUUCUAAUGUGAAACUCAAGAAUGAAACAAUGCUCUUCAAAGCUUUGCUUAAAUUACAUCCACUUCUAUUGUGGAACUCGAGAAUUAAAUAAUGCUCAUCAAAGCUUUGAUAAAUUGCAAAGACUAUUUCUAUUGUGGAGCUGAAGAAGUAAUCAAUGCUCAUCAAUGCUUUGCUAAAUUGCAAAGACUUCUAAUGUGGAACCCAAUAAUGAAACAAUGCUUAAGAAAGCUUUGCUAAAUUGCAUAGACUUCUAUUAUGGAACUCAAGAACUAAAAAAUGCUCAUCAAUGCUUUGCUUAAAUUGCAUAGACUUCUAUUGUGGAACUCAAGAAUGAAACGAUGCUCAUCAAAGCUUUGCUAAAUUGUGUAGACCUCAAAUGUGGAAAUCAUGAAUGAAACACUGCUCGUCAACGCUUUGCUUAAAUUGCAUAGACUACUAUUGUGGACCUCAAGAAUAAAGAAUUGCUCAUCAAACCUUUGCUAAAUUACGAAGACUACUUCUAUUGUGGAACUCAAGAAUUAAACAAUGCUCAUCAAAGCUUUGCUAAAUUGCAUAGACUUAUAAUGUGGAACUCAAUAAUGAAACAAUGCUCAUCAAAGCUUUAAUUAAAGUGCAUAGACUUCUAUUUUGGAACUCAAGAAUUAAACAAUGCUCAUCAAAACUUUGCUAAGUUUCAUAGACUUC
RNAcentral lists this long non-coding RNA (3117 nucleotides) under Lactuca sativa (garden lettuce). RNAcentral's name for it is "long non-coding RNA (LSAT_LNC001423)". The record is from RNAcentral. Lineage: Eukaryota; Viridiplantae; Streptophyta; Magnoliopsida; Asterales; Asteraceae.